GACGAAAUAAAACUGGCAAGUGCCAAUC
RNAcentral lists this small RNA (28 nucleotides) under Bombyx mori (domestic silkworm). RNAcentral describes it as "ovarian small RNA-15526". Lineage: Eukaryota; Metazoa; Arthropoda; Insecta; Lepidoptera; Bombycidae. The record is from RNAcentral.